This 222-nucleotide unclassified non-coding RNA is filed under the name Hevea brasiliensis (rubber tree). The record is from RNAcentral. Lineage: Eukaryota; Viridiplantae; Streptophyta; Magnoliopsida; Malpighiales; Euphorbiaceae.
GUAGAAUAUCAGUAAUGUUGGCUUUUCCAGCCUUGCCGAGUGCCGCAUAACCAGCUUGUUCCGAUAAAUACAAUGCCUUCAAAUAAUUGUCCUGCAAUUGAACGAUGGGUGAGGUGGCAGUUGCUCCUUAGUUUGGGGUUAGCUCAGAGCUCUGCCUCUGUCCACCCUUUCUUUCUUCAAAUUGUUAAUAAAGCUUGAUUUUGCUGCACCUUUGGGUCUCCC